GGCCUCGUAGCUCAGAUGGUAGAGAGUGCGCUGUACAAAAGUAUAGGUGGCGUCCAUGCGUGGGUUCGAAUCCCACCGAAGUCA
RNAcentral lists this transfer RNA (84 nucleotides) under Echinostoma caproni. It matches the Rfam family "tRNA". From Rfam's summary of the family: Transfer RNA (tRNA) molecules are approximately 80 nucleotides in length. Their secondary structure includes four short double-helical elements and three loops (D, anti-codon, and T loops). The record is from Rfam by way of RNAcentral. Lineage: Eukaryota; Metazoa; Platyhelminthes; Trematoda; Plagiorchiida; Echinostomatidae.